This 73-nucleotide transfer RNA is filed under the name Peptoniphilus sp. ING2-D1G. It matches the Rfam family "tRNA". Rfam says of the family: Transfer RNA (tRNA) molecules are approximately 80 nucleotides in length. Their secondary structure includes four short double-helical elements and three loops (D, anti-codon, and T loops). Lineage: Bacteria; Bacillati; Bacillota; Tissierellia; Tissierellales; Peptoniphilaceae. The record is from Rfam by way of RNAcentral.
GGGAAGUUAGCUCAGCUGGAAGAGCGCCACGUUGACAUCGUGGAGGUCGCUGGUUCGAGCCCAGUACUGCCCA